GCUUGCAUUCACCGUAAGAAGUUGAGUGGCGGACGGGUGAGUAACACGUGGGUAACCUGCCUAAAAGAAGGGGAUAACACUUGGAAACAGGUGCUAAUACCGUAUAUCUCUAAGGAUCGCAUGAUCCUUAGACGAAAGAUGGUUCUGCUAUCGCUUUUAGAUGGACCCGCGGCGUAUUAACUAGUUGGUGGGGUAACGGCCUACCAAGGUGAUGAUACGUAGCCGAACUGAGAGGUUGAUCGGCCACAUUGGGACUGAGACACGGCCCAAACUCCUACGGGAGGCAGCAGUAGGGAAUCUUCCACAAUGGACGCAAGUCUGAUGGAGCAACGCCGCGUGAGUGAAGAAGGUCUUCGGAUCGUAAAACUCUGUUGUUAGAGAAGAACACGAGUGAGAGUAACUGUUCAUUCGAUGACGGUAUCUAACCAGCAAGUCACGGCUAACUACGUGCCAGCAGCCGCGGUAAUACGUAGGUGGCAAGCGUUGUCCGGAUUUAUUGGGCGUAAAGGGAACGCAGGCGGUCUUUUAAGUCUGAUGUGAAAGCCUUCGGCUUAACCGGAGUAGUGCAUUGGAAACUGGAAGACUUGAGUGCAGAAGAGGAGAGUGGAACUCCAUGUGUAGCGGUGAAAUGCGUAGAUAUAUGGAAGAACACCAGUGGCGAAAGCGGC
RNAcentral lists this ribosomal RNA (668 nucleotides) under uncultured Bacilli bacterium. RNAcentral's name for it is "bacterial SSU rRNA". It matches the Rfam family "Bacterial small subunit ribosomal RNA", at positions 73 to 725 of the family's 1533-position model. Lineage: Bacteria; Bacillati; Bacillota; Bacilli. The record is from RNAcentral.